GAUGAACGCUAGCGGCAGGCUUAACACAUGCAAGUCGAGGGGUAACAGAAGGAAGCUUGCUUUCUUGCUGACGACCGGCGCACGGGUGCGUAACGCGUAUAGAACCUACCUUUUACAGGGGAAUAGCCCAGAGAAAUUUGGAUUAAUGCCCCAUAGUAUUGUUGAAUGGCAUCAUUUAAUAAUUAAACAUUUAUGGGUAAAAGAUGGCUAUGCGCUCUAUUAGCUAGAUGGUAAGGUAACGGCUUACCAUGGCGACGAUAGAUAGGGGUCCUGAGAGGGAGAUCCCCACACUGGUACUGAGACACGGACCAGACUCCUACGGGAGGCAGCAGUGAGGAAUAUUGGGCAAUGGAGGCAACUCUGACCCAGCCAUGCCGCGUGCAGGAAGACGGCCCUAUGGGUUGUAAACUGCUUUUAUAUAGGAAGAAACCUUUCCACGUGUGGAAAGCUGACGGUACUAUAAGAAUAAGCACCGGCUAACUCCGUG
RNAcentral lists this ribosomal RNA (487 nucleotides) under uncultured bacterium. RNAcentral describes it as "bacterial SSU rRNA". It matches the Rfam family "Bacterial small subunit ribosomal RNA", at positions 28 to 507 of the family's 1533-position model. The record is from RNAcentral.